This 147-nucleotide signal recognition particle RNA is filed under the name Gorilla gorilla gorilla (western lowland gorilla). RNAcentral's name for it is "Metazoan signal recognition particle RNA". It matches the Rfam family "Metazoan signal recognition particle RNA". Rfam says of the family: The signal recognition particle (SRP) is a universally conserved ribonucleoprotein. It is involved in the co-translational targeting of proteins to membranes. The record is from Rfam by way of RNAcentral. Lineage: Eukaryota; Metazoa; Chordata; Mammalia; Primates; Hominidae.
GCCGGGCGUAGUGGCGCGCAUCUGUAAUCCCAGCUACUCGGAGGCUGAGGCAGGAGAAUUGCUUGAACCUGGGAGGCGGAGGGUGCAGUGAGCCGAGAUCGUGCCACUGCACUCCAGCCUGGGUGACAGAGCAAGACUCUGCCUCAC